GAUGAACGCUGGCGGCGUGCCUAAUACAUUCAAGUCGAGCGAACGGACGAGAAGCUUGCUUCUCUGAUGUUAGCGGCGGACGGGUGAGUAACACGUGGAUAACCUACCUAUAAGACUGGGAUAACUUCGGGAAACCGGAGCUAAUACCGGAUGAUAUUUUGAACCGCAUGGUUCAAAAGUGAAAGACGGUCUUGCUGUCACUUAUAGAUGGAUCCGCGCUGCAUUAGCUAGUUGGUAAGGUAAUGGCUUACCAAGGCAACGAUGCAUAGCCGACCUGAGAGGGUGAUCGGCCACACUGGAACUGAGACACGGUCCAGACUCCUACGGGAGGCAGCAGUAGGGAAUCUUCCGCAAUGGGCGAAAGCCUGACGGAGCAACGCCGCGUGAGUGAUGAAGGUCUUCGGAUCGUAAAACUCUGUUAUUAGGGAAGAACAUAUGUGUAAGUAACUGUGGACAUCUUGACGGUACCUAAUCAGAAAGCCACGGCUAACUACGUG
RNAcentral lists this ribosomal RNA (497 nucleotides) under uncultured bacterium. Its description in RNAcentral is "partial 16S ribosomal RNA". It matches the Rfam family "Bacterial small subunit ribosomal RNA", at positions 28 to 507 of the family's 1533-position model. The record is from RNAcentral.